UGGCUCAGUGGUUAAGAGCACUGGCUGCUUGCUCUUCCAGAGGCCCUGGGUUCAAUUCCCAG
RNAcentral lists this transfer RNA (62 nucleotides) under Mus musculus (house mouse). It matches the Rfam family "tRNA", at positions 8 to 63 of the family's 71-position model. From Rfam's summary of the family: Transfer RNA (tRNA) molecules are approximately 80 nucleotides in length. Their secondary structure includes four short double-helical elements and three loops (D, anti-codon, and T loops). Further hydrogen bonds mediate the characteristic L-shaped molecular structure. tRNAs have two regions of fundamental functional importance: the anti-codon, which is responsible for specific mRNA codon recognition, and the 3' end, to which the tRNAs corresponding amino acid is attached (by aminoacyl-tRNA synthetases). tRNAs cope with the degeneracy of the genetic code in two manners: having more than one tRNA (with a specific anti-codon) for a particular amino acid; and 'wobble' base-pairing, i.e. permitting non-standard base-pairing at the 3rd anti-codon position. The record is from Rfam by way of RNAcentral. Lineage: Eukaryota; Metazoa; Chordata; Mammalia; Rodentia; Muridae.